GUGGGGAAUAUUGGACAAUGGGCGAAAGCCUGAUCCAGCCAUGCCGCGUGUGUGAAGAAGGUCUUCGGAUUGUAAAGCACUUUAAGUUGGGAGGAAGGGCAGUAAGUUAAUACCUUGCUGUUUUGACGUUACCGACAGAAUAAGCACCGGCUAACUUCGUGCCAGCAGCCGCGGUAAUACGAAGGGUGCAAGCGUUAAUCGGAAUUACUGGGCGUAAAGCGAGCGUAGGUGGUUUUGUAAGUUGGAGGUGACAUCCCCGGGCUCAACCUGGGAACUGCCUCCAAAACUGCAUGACUAGAGUACGGUAGAGGGUAGUGGAAUUUCCUGUGUAGCGGUGAAAUGCGUAGAUAUAGGAAGGAACACCAGUGGCGAAGGCGACUACCUGGACUGAUACUGACACUGAGGUGCGAAAGCGUGGGGAGCAAACAGGAUUAGAUACCCCAGUAGUCC
Molecule: ribosomal RNA, 450 nt
Filed under: uncultured bacterium
Lineage: Bacteria
Description: partial 16S ribosomal RNA
Rfam family: Bacterial small subunit ribosomal RNA
Source: RNAcentral